RNAcentral lists this microRNA (21 nucleotides) under Gorilla gorilla (western gorilla). RNAcentral describes it as "ggo-miR-3612". Lineage: Eukaryota; Metazoa; Chordata; Mammalia; Primates; Hominidae. The record is from miRBase by way of RNAcentral.
AGGAGGCAUCUUGAGAAAUGG